Molecule: long non-coding RNA, 976 nt
Filed under: Brassica napus (rape)
Lineage: Eukaryota; Viridiplantae; Streptophyta; Magnoliopsida; Brassicales; Brassicaceae
Description: long non-coding RNA (BNAP_LNC007320)
Source: RNAcentral
UAACAUUGAUAAUUUGCUUUCACGAAUUUAUGCCACAGUAAAAGGAGAAGUAUCAAUACAUCACUCAUCAGAAAUCAUCACAACGAUAUGAAUAUUCGUUCUUAAGACACAGUGAAUCUAGUAAUAGCGUACGUACGUUCUUGACAUUGUAAUUCCGUCAUUACAAACAUAUAUAUAUCAGUAUUAAUAAAGAGUCAAGUCACCAAAAAUGCUGAUACAUUAUGAAAUUAUUGAACAUUAAUAUCAUACUUAGGUAAUUUUACUCAUUUGAACGUAGCAUCCAAGCUGGAAGAAGAGAGUUUGGUUCAAUCAACGACGAUGCACCGCCGUUCUCUCCCACAACUCUCUCCACAAGGCCAUCUCUGCCCAUUAAAUAAUUACACCUUUUCCUUUCUCUCAAGAAUCAUGAUAAUCAUCUGUGACACGCUGUACCAUGCGGUGACCACUUUAAAGGGCACCAUAACGAGUUUUUUUUUUUUUUUUUGGUAAAAGCACCAUAACGAGUUGAUUUACAAAUUACAAUGAAAGCAGAGUUGAGAAAUUUUGGAUAUAAGACUUUGUAAAUUCAUAAACCUAUUGAGAACAUUUACGAACAAUAUAACAUUGAUAAUUUGCUUUCACGAAUUUAUGCCACAGUAAAAGGAGAAGUAUCAAUACAUCACUCAUCAGAAAUCAUCACAACGAUAUGAAUAUUCGUUCUUAAGACACAGUGAAUCUAGUAAUAGCGUACGUACGUUCUUGACAUUGUAAUUCCGUCAUUACAAACAUAUAUAUAUCAGUAUUAAUAAAGAGUCAAGUCACCAAAAAUGCUGAUACAUUAUGAAAUUAUUGAACAUUAAUAUCAUACUUAGGUAAUUUUACUCAUUUGAACGUAGCAUCCAAGCUGGAAGAAGAGAGUUUGGUUCAAUCAACGACGAUGCACCGCCGUUCUCUCCCACAACUCUCUCCACAAGGCCAUCUCUGCCCAUUAAAUAAU